Molecule: ribosomal RNA, 519 nt
Filed under: uncultured bacterium
Lineage: Bacteria
Description: bacterial SSU rRNA
Rfam family: Bacterial small subunit ribosomal RNA
Source: RNAcentral
AGAGUUGAUCCUGGCUUAGGAUGAACGCUAGCUACAGGCUUAACACAUGCAAGUCGCGGGGCAGCAUGGUCUUAGCUUGCUAAGACUGAUGGCGACCGGCGCACGGGUGAGUAACGCGUAUCCAACCUUCCCCUUAGUAGGGCAUAGCCCGGCGAAAGUCGGAUUAAUACCCUAUGUUCUUCGUAGAUGGCAUCUGAGACGAAGCAAAGGUUAGCGCUAAGGGAUGGGGAUGCGUCUGAUUAGGCAGUCGGCGGGGUAACGGCCCACCGAGCCAUCGAUCAGUAGGGGUUCUGAGAGGAAGGUCCCCCACAUUGGAACUGAGACACGGUCCAAACUCCUACGGGAGGCAGCAGUGAGGAAUAUUGGUCAAUGGGCGAGAGCCUGAACCAGCCAAGUAGCGUGCAGGACGACGGCCCUACGGGUUGUAAACUGCUUUUAUGCGGGGAUAAAGUGCCCUACGUGUAGGGUAUUGCAGGUACCGCAUGAAUAAGGACCGGCUAAUUCCGUGCCAGCCGCUGC